UUGGUGUAGAUAAGUUUAAGUUCAAAGGGGAAUGUUAAACUUAUUCGGAACUUCAAAGGGGAAGUUCAGGAUUUUGAAGGGGGGACCGAGUUCGUAUGAUGAACCAUUGAUAAACAAUUGGUACCACAUGCAUUGGGUCAAGCUAUGGAGUCUUAUUGCAUUUUCAUUAUAUCGUGUGGUGUUUAAUUGUGGUAAGAAUGUGGAUU
Molecule: long non-coding RNA, 206 nt
Filed under: Lathyrus oleraceus (garden pea)
Lineage: Eukaryota; Viridiplantae; Streptophyta; Magnoliopsida; Fabales; Fabaceae
Description: Pisum sativum (pea) long non-coding RNA (PSAT_LNC028487)
Source: RNAcentral